This 76-nucleotide transfer RNA is filed under the name Kosmotoga arenicorallina. It matches the Rfam family "tRNA". From Rfam's summary of the family: Transfer RNA (tRNA) molecules are approximately 80 nucleotides in length. Their secondary structure includes four short double-helical elements and three loops (D, anti-codon, and T loops). Further hydrogen bonds mediate the characteristic L-shaped molecular structure. tRNAs have two regions of fundamental functional importance: the anti-codon, which is responsible for specific mRNA codon recognition, and the 3' end, to which the tRNAs corresponding amino acid is attached (by aminoacyl-tRNA synthetases). tRNAs cope with the degeneracy of the genetic code in two manners: having more than one tRNA (with a specific anti-codon) for a particular amino acid; and 'wobble' base-pairing, i.e. permitting non-standard base-pairing at the 3rd anti-codon position. Lineage: Bacteria; Thermotogati; Thermotogota; Thermotogae; Kosmotogales; Kosmotogaceae. RNAcentral also lists the same sequence under 1 other name. The record is from RNAcentral.
GUGCCCGUAGCUCAAUGGAUAGAGCGCUGGACUCCGGAUCCAGAGGCUGUGGGUUCAACUCCCACCGGGCACACCA